GACGAACGCUGGCGGCGUGCCUAAUACAUGCAAGUCNUAGCGGACAUCUCCGGAUGUUAGCGGCGGACGGGUGAGUAACACGUGGGCAAUCUGCCUGACAGACUGGAAUAACGCCUGGAAACGGGUGCUAAUGCCAGAUAGCGCAGCGGGUAGGCAUCUACCAGCUGGGAAAGGUGCUACGGCAUCACUGUCAGAGGAGCCCGCGGCGCAUUAGCCAGUUGGUGAGGUAACGGCCCACCAAGGCGACGAUGCGUAGCCGACCUGAGAGGGUGACCGGCCACACUGGGACUGAGACACGGCCCAGACUCCUACGGGAGGCAGCAGUAGGGAAUCUUCCGCAAUGGGCGAAAGCCUGACGGAGCAACGCCGCGUGAGCGAAGAAGGCCUUCGGGUUGUAAAGCUCAGUCACCCGGGAAGAGCGANUCGGAGAGGGAAUGCUCCGAUUGAGACGGUACCGGGAGAGGAAGCCCCGGCUAACUACGUGCCAGCAGCCGCGGUAAUACGUAGGGGGCAAGCGUUGUCCGGAAUCACUGGGCGUAAAGCGUGCGUAGGCGGUUUGUUAAGUUCGGGGUGAAAGUCCAAGGCUCAACCUUGGGAAUGCCUUGAAAACUGGCAGACUUGAGUACUGGAGAGGCAAGGGGAAUUCCACGUGUAGCGGUGAAAUGCGUAGAGAUGUGGAGGAAUACCAGUGGCGAAGGCGCCUUGCUGGACAGUGACUGACGCUGAGGCACG
Molecule: ribosomal RNA, 732 nt
Filed under: uncultured bacterium
Lineage: Bacteria
Description: bacterial SSU rRNA
Rfam family: Bacterial small subunit ribosomal RNA
Source: RNAcentral